AUUGAACGCUGGCGGCAGGCCUAACACAUGCAAGUCGAACGGUAACAGGAAGAAGCUUGCUUCUUUGCUGACGAGUGGCGGACGGGUGAGUAAUGUCUGGGAAACUGCCUGAUGGAGGGGGAUAACUACUGGAAACGGUAGCUAAUACCGCAUAACGUCGCAAGACCAAAAAGGGGGACCUUCGGGCCUCUUGCCAUCGGAUGUGCCCAGAUGGGAUUAGCUAGUAGGUGGGGUAACGGCUCACCUAGGCGACGAUCCCUAGCUGGUCUGAGAGGAUGACCAGCCACACUGGAACUUAGACACGGUCCAGACUCCUACGGGAGGCAGCAGUGGGGAAUAUUGCACAAUGGGCGCAAGCCUGAUGCAGCCAUGCCGCGUGUAUGAAGAAGGCCUUCGGGUUGUAAAGUACUUUCAGCGGGGAGGAAGGGAGUAAAGUUAAUACCUUUGCUCAUUGACGUUACCCGCAGAAGAAGCACCGGCUAACUCCGUG
RNAcentral lists this ribosomal RNA (490 nucleotides) under uncultured bacterium. RNAcentral describes it as "partial 16S ribosomal RNA". It matches the Rfam family "Bacterial small subunit ribosomal RNA", at positions 30 to 507 of the family's 1533-position model. The record is from RNAcentral.